Molecule: RNA transcript, 1865 nt
Organism: Helianthus annuus (common sunflower)
Lineage: Eukaryota; Viridiplantae; Streptophyta; Magnoliopsida; Asterales; Asteraceae
Gene name: ACT domain-containing protein ACR8-like
Exons: 10
Source: RefSeq, a predicted model, not a curated record
AUCCACCUUAUUCCUUUUAAUUAGGGUUCUCUCAACCUCUGAAGCUGUGGAAUCGAUCACACCAUUUCAAGGAACUCCUUUGGGUGUUCAGCCUACGGUGAACGGUUGGUGUCGGCUGCCAGAGAUGGAGACUUCGGUGGUGUGGUGCGCUCGGGACUCGGGAGGCCAGAAGAGGGUUUGAAACAAAGUUUGGUUGGAUAAAGGCACAGGAAAAGCUUGUGUUUUGAUAUCUUCCAAUGGAUUAGCGAUAACUGGGAUUGACGAUCGUAGAUACUGGAGUUGGAUUUCUACAUAGGAAUCCAGAUUCCGUUCAGUUGCUUAUCUCUAACAAAUUUGGUGGUUUGAAGUUGAUGGUGAGGUCGAGUUUCCUUUUCCUUGUGGGACCUACACCCUCUACUUCCGCCUACAACUUGGGCGGUCAGGCAGGCGGUUUGGGCGGCGUGUCUGCAACUCCGACCAUGUUCAUGGUUGGGAUAUAAAACCUGUGAAAUUUCAGCUUUCAACUUCAAAUGGGUAUGGCUCUAAACAUUUUCUAUGUAACGGACGCGAUUGGAAACCCGGUAUUACUUGGACAUUAUUGCUUGAUAAUGGAGCUGAUGUUAGUUCAGAAGCCGAAAAGCAACGAGUGAUCAUGUGUUUAAAAGCCACGGUUGAAAGAAGGGCACCCGAGGGUGUGCGUCUCGAGCUAUUCAAACCCGACAAACCCAGACUGUUGGCCCAAGUGACACGAACGUUUAUAGAAAACGCGAUGAACGUAGCACAGGCCGAGAUAUCUACAACAAUGGGUAAUCAUUCUUCGGUUUCGAAAUCGACAUGGACAUCCAAUAUUAGCUCCGAAGAUAUGCUGACCGAAGUUCUGUCGUAUUUCACGCAACCAUCAAUACCGGAGAAGACGGAGCGUAUCUGGAAUUUUAUAUCAGACAUAUAGAUGGAAGCCCGAUUAGUUCAGAAGCCGAAAAGCAACGAGUGAUCAUGUGUUUAAAAGCCGCGGUUGAAAGAAGGGCACCCGAGGGUGUGCGUCUCGAGCUAUUCAAACCCGACAAACCCGGGCUGUUGGCCCAAGUGACACGAACGUUUAGAGAAAACGCGAUGAACGUAACACAGGCCGAGAUAUCUACAACAAUGGAUUGUUGCAUUGCUGCUUGAUAAUGGAGCUGAUGUUAAUUCUAAGAAUUAUUGUGGUUAGGUAAUCAUUCUUCGGUUUCAAAAUCGACAUGGACAUCCAAUAUUAGCUCCGAAGAUAUGCUGACCGAAGUUCUGUCGUAUUUCACGCAACCAUCAAUACCGGAGAAGACGGAGCGUAUGUGGUCAUCCCAAGAGCCUACUUAUCGUGUCUCUAUAAAUACACAGCCACAUUCAAGCAUCCUCCCUUUCAUUAUGCAACCUGUGACUGAAUAUCGGAAGACACCUGCCAACAUGAAGAAAACCACUGUUGUGCUAACUGUUCAGAAAGUUUGGUGACUCUUGAAGAAAUAUUACACCAUGGUCGAGAAAAUAAGAAACACGCGCCCUACUUAUGAAGGUUCUGAUUCAAAUGGUUCUGUGGGUAGCGCUCCAGGUGAAAGCCCUACUUAUGAAGGUUCUUAUUCAGAUGGUUCUGUGGGUAGCGCUCCAGGUGAAAGACAAGAAACUACUAAGGGGAACGUCGACUACAUGGCCAUGCAUUAGCGGCAGAAGAUUUGGUGAAUUAUUGAAUAAAACCGGAAGCUUUAUGAACCCCUUUAAGUUUUUUUCCUGUAAUGUAUGUUUUUAGACUUGGCAUACAUGUUUGUUCUUAAACAGAUUCCGCAAACAAAGUUUCCUGUGUUAUGCACGCCUUAAAUUUUGUGUGGCCGGCUUAUGGUACAAGCUCUUAUCACGUUUUG